Molecule: ribosomal RNA, 633 nt
Filed under: uncultured Gammaproteobacteria bacterium
Lineage: Bacteria; Pseudomonadati; Pseudomonadota; Gammaproteobacteria
Description: partial 16S ribosomal RNA
Source: RNAcentral
GUCGCAUGCUCCCGGCCGCCAUGGCGGCCGCGGGAAUUCGAUUCGUAUUACCGCGGCUGCUGGCACGGAGUUAGCCGGUGCUUCUUCUGCGGGUAACGUCAAUCAACAACGCUAUUCACGCUGUUGCCUUCCUCCCCGCUGAAAGUACUUUACAACCCGAAGGCCUUCUUCAUACACGCGGCAUGGCUGCAUCAGGCUUGCGCCCAUUGUGCAAUAUUCCCCACUGCUGCCUCCCGUAGGAGUCUGGGCCGUGUCUCAGUCCCAGUGUGGCUGGUCAUCCUCUCAGACCAGCUAGGGAUCGUCGCCUAGGUGAGCCAUUACCCCACCUACUAGCUAAUCCCAUCUGGGUUCAUCCGAUGGCGUGAGGCCCGAAGGUCCCCCACUUUACUCCAAAGAGGUUAUGCGGUAUUAGCCACCGUUUCCAGUGGUUAUCCCCCUCCAUCGGGCAGAUCCCCAGACAUUACUCACCCGUCCGCCGCUCGCCGGCAGGGAAGCAAGCUUCCCCCCGCUGCCGCUCGACUUGCAUGUGUUAGGCCUGCCGCCAGCGUUCAAUCUGAGCCAUGAUCAAACUCUAAUCACUAGUGAAUUCGCGGCCGCCUGCAGGUCGACCAUAUGGGAGAGCUCCCAACGCGU